CCCUUAGAUGUUCUGGGCCGCACGCGCGCUACACUGAUUCAUGCAACAAGUUUUGUCCUUGGCUGAUAGGCCUGGGUAAUCUUUGAACGUGAAUCGUGAUGGGGAUAGAUGAUUGCAAUUAUUCAUCUUCAACGAGGAAUUCCUAGUAAACGCAAGUCAUCAGCUUGCAUUGAUUACGUCCCUGCCCUUUGUACACACCGCCCGUCGCACCUACCGAUUGAAUGGUCCGGCGAAAUCUUCGGAUCUGAGAGAUGUCUGAUUAAUUUCGGACGCCUUUUGGAAAAGUUGUUUAAACCUUACCAUUUAGAGGAAGGUGAAGUCGUAACA
Molecule: ribosomal RNA, 327 nt
Filed under: uncultured eukaryote
Lineage: Eukaryota
Description: partial 18S ribosomal RNA
Rfam family: Eukaryotic small subunit ribosomal RNA
Source: RNAcentral